UACAGAGGGUGCAAACGUUGUUCGGAAUUACUGGGCGUAAAGCGCGUGCAGGCGGCCUUGCAAGUCGGACGUGAAAUCCCACGGCUCAACCGUGGAAGUGCAUUCGAAACUGCGAGGCUGGAGUCCUGGAGAGGAAAGUGGAAUACUCGGUGUAGAGGUGAAAUUCGUAGAUAUCGAGAGGAACACCUGCGGCGAAGGCGGCUCUCUGGGACGGUACUGACGCUGAGACGCGAAAGCGUGGGGAGCGAACAGG
This 253-nucleotide ribosomal RNA is filed under the name uncultured bacterium. Its description in RNAcentral is "partial 16S ribosomal RNA". It matches the Rfam family "Bacterial small subunit ribosomal RNA", at positions 524 to 776 of the family's 1533-position model. The record is from RNAcentral.